AUUGAAUAGUUUCAUGUAUAUGAGCUACACAGGGUCAUUAACCUCAUAAGACAAAGUGAUGAUUCCAGGGGCUGAGGACAAGGAAUGCAAAUUUUUGAGAUUCAGAGUUUCAGAUUGGGAAAAAGGAAGAAGUUGCAGAGACCGAUGGUGCUCCCAGGCCGACCAUAAAAGGAUAAGCACUCCUUUGUCACUCACGACCUUGACAGUGGAGCAGUUCUUUCUCUGGUCUCACCUUCAGGCUCCUGCUGUGGCCUGUGAAAGCAAUGGAGGACGGCCUUGAGACCCUGCACCCGUGUGGGAAACCUGGAAGAAGCUCAUGGCUCCUGGAUUUGGAUUGGCUCAGCUCCAGACAUUGCUGCUACUUGGAGAGUGAACCAGCAGAUGGAAGAGCUUUCUGUCUUUCCUUCACUCUGUAA
Molecule: long non-coding RNA, 416 nt
Organism: Ochotona princeps (American pika)
Lineage: Eukaryota; Metazoa; Chordata; Mammalia; Lagomorpha; Ochotonidae
Exons: 3
Source: RefSeq, a predicted model, not a curated record